This 323-nucleotide unclassified non-coding RNA is filed under the name soil metagenome. Its description in RNAcentral is "partial contains 5.8S ribosomal RNA, internal transcribed spacer 2, and large subunit ribosomal RNA". The stretch from base 1 to 120 matches the Rfam family "5.8S ribosomal RNA", at positions 35 to 154 of the family's 154-position model. The record is from RNAcentral.
GAUGAAGAACGCAGCGAAAUGCGAUACGUAAUGUGAAUUGCAGAAUUCAGUGAAUCAUCGAGUCUUUGAACGCACAUUGCGCCCCUUGGUAUUCCAUGGGGCAUGCCUGUUCGAGCGUCAUUUGUACCUUCAAGCUUUGCUUGGUGUUGGGUGUUUGUCCUGAGGGACUCGCCUUAAAGUAAUUGGCAGCCAGUGUUUGGUUUUGAAGCGCAGCACAAGUCGCGAUUCAAAGCUAUACGCCCGCUUCCACAAGCCUUUUUCACUUUUGACCUCGGAUCAGGUAGGGAUACCCGCUGAACUUAAGCAUAUCAAUAAGCGGAGGA